CUCUUCCAGGGCUGAGUCUGGGCCCCAGGACACACGUGCAGGCAGGGCACCUCCCCAAGCCCACCCUCUGGGCUGAGCCAGGCUCUGUGAUCACCCAGGGGAGUCCCGUGACCCUCAGGUGUCAGGGGAGCCAGGAGACCCAGGAGUACCAUCUAUAUAGAGAAAAGAAAACAGCACGCUGGAUUACACGGAUCCCACAGGGGCUUGUGAAGAAGGGCCAGUUCCCCAUCCCAUCCAUCACCUGGGAACACGCAGGGCGGUAUGGCUGUUUCUACGGUAGCCACACUGCAGGCUGGUCAGAGCCCAGUGACCCCCUGGAGCUGGUGGUGAUAGGAGCCUACAUCAAACCCACCCUCUCAGCCCAGCCCAGCCUUGUGGUGACCUCAGGAGGAAGCGUGACCCUCCAGUGUGUCUCACAGGUGGCAUUUGGUGGCUUCACUCUGUGUAAGGAAGC
RNAcentral lists this small RNA (454 nucleotides) under Pongo abelii (Sumatran orangutan). Its description in RNAcentral is "processed transcript". The record is from RNAcentral. Lineage: Eukaryota; Metazoa; Chordata; Mammalia; Primates; Hominidae.